RNAcentral lists this ribosomal RNA (633 nucleotides) under Marinobacter nauticus. RNAcentral's name for it is "bacterial SSU rRNA". It matches the Rfam family "Bacterial small subunit ribosomal RNA", at positions 754 to 1375 of the family's 1533-position model. Lineage: Bacteria; Pseudomonadati; Pseudomonadota; Gammaproteobacteria; Pseudomonadales; Marinobacteraceae. The record is from RNAcentral.
GAAAAGCGUGGGGGAGCAAACACGGAUUAGAUAUCCCUGGGUAGUGCACGCCGUAAACGAUGUCUACUACGACCGCGUGGGUGGUCCUUGAAGCUCUUAGUGUCGCGAGCUAACGCGCUAAGUAGACCGCCUGGGGAGUACGGUCGCAAGAUUAAAACUCAAAUGAAUUGACGGGGGCCCGCACACAGCGGUGGAGCAUGUGGUUUAAUUUGAUGCAACGCGAAGAACCUUACCUGUUCUUGACAUCCAGAGAACUUUCCAGAGAUGGAUUGGUGCCUUCGGGAACUCUGAGACAGGUGCUGCAUGGCCGUCGUCAGCUCGUGUCGUGAAAUGUUGGGUUAAGUCCCGUAACGAGCGCAACCCUUAUCCUUGUUUGCCAGCGGGUAAUGUUGGGAACUCCAGGGAGACUGCCGGUGACAAACCGGAGGAAGGUGGGGAUGACGUCAGGUCAUCAUGGCCCUUACGACCAGGGCUACACACGUGCUACAAUGGCGCGUACAGAGGGCUGCCAACUCGCGAGAGUGAGCCAAUCCCAAAAACGCGUCGUAGUCCGGAUCGGAGUCUGCAACUCGACUCCGUGAAGUCGGAAUCGCUAGUAUUCUCGAAUCAGAAUGUCGCGGUGAAUACGUUCCC